CAAAGCCAUCAAUGAGACUACUAUACACAACUACAUUUAGUUCCACACCCCUUGAUUUUGCUUCUUCAAAAAGUAUGUAAGCUUCAUCAAGUCUGUCAAUUUUAGCAAGCCCAUCAAUUACCGAACCAUAGGUGACCACGGUCGGUUGAUGACCCUGCACCUUCAUUUCCUCCAGCAACUGGUAAGCUUUAUUCACUUUAGCGGACUUGCAAAAUCCAUCAAUAACGGUGUUGUAAG
This 237-nucleotide unclassified non-coding RNA is filed under the name uncultured bacterium. RNAcentral describes it as "contains 16S-23S intergenic spacer region". The record is from RNAcentral.